GAUGAACGCUGGCGGCGUGCCUAAUACAUGCAAGUCGAGCGAACAGACGAGGAGCUUGCUCCUCUGACGUUAGCGGCGGACGGGUGAGUAACACGUGUAUAACCUACCUAUAAGACUGGGAUAACUUCGGGAAACCGGAGCUAAUACCGGAGAAUAUAUUGAACCGCAUGGGUCAAUAGUGAAAGACGGUUUUGCGGUCACGUAUAGAUGGAUCCGCGCCGGAUUAGCUAGUUGGUAAGGUAACGGCUUACUAAGGCAACGAUGCGUAGCCGACCGCAGGGGCUGGUCGGCCACCCUGGAACGGGGCCGCGGUCCAUGCUCCUACGGGACGCAGCAGUCGGGAAUCGUCCGCAGUGGGCGGAAGCCUGGCGGAGCAGCGCCGCGUCUAUGAUGACAGUCUUCCGAGCGUAAAGCUCUGUUAUUAGUGAGGAACAACUGUGUAAGUAACUAUGCCCGUCUUGACGGUACCUAGUCAGAAAGCCCCGGCUAACUACGUG
This 497-nucleotide ribosomal RNA is filed under the name uncultured bacterium. RNAcentral's name for it is "partial 16S ribosomal RNA". It matches the Rfam family "Bacterial small subunit ribosomal RNA", at positions 28 to 507 of the family's 1533-position model. The record is from RNAcentral.